Molecule: long non-coding RNA, 919 nt
Organism: Lemur catta (Ring-tailed lemur)
Lineage: Eukaryota; Metazoa; Chordata; Mammalia; Primates; Lemuridae
Exons: 3
Source: RefSeq, a predicted model, not a curated record
AGAGAGAAAGGAUUUCAAUGUUCAGCUUCUGAUAUUCAAAAUAGCGUUUUCAACAAGACAGUAAGUAGCCUUAUAACCCCUAAGCUAUCGUCUCAAGAUUUUCUAAAUUCUUUCAUAUCUCAAUUUUCACCCAAGAACCCUCCUGGAGGCUUCAGCUCACAGAGUAGAAACAGCCCUUCUGCCUGUACUGCUAGGCCGGGAGGCCUGUUCCUCUAUGGCUGAUUGACUAUUUGACAUAGGAAAAUAAAAGAAAAGCCCACCUGUCCUGGCUUGAGGGAAUUGGGGAAGAAGAAAAGAGAGAUGCAGAACAGUCCAGGCACUAGAGAUGUUUAGGAGCCAGGUGUGGUGCUUUGCUUGGGUAUCCUUCCAGGUUUUGGAGGGAGGCAAGCAGCCCACCUGUGACCUAUGGCCCACCUGUGAACCCCACCCUAGGACCAACAAUCCCAUGGUUACUCUGAAAGGAAACAUACUGAGAAGAGAUAAAGAGUGCAUAUUAGCUUCGUAGGGCCUCCUACCCCAUAGAUUCCAGAACCCCCUUCUCCUCGGUGCCAUGAGGUCACAGGAACCUCCUCUCCCAACCCCCAGUCCCAUGAGUCCAGGGAGGGGCAGGCUCUCUGAGAAACUGAUCAUUUUUAUGCAAAAGAGACUAAGAUUUCUCUAGAGGGACUAUUUCAAUUAUUACAUCAGACUAGGUUAUAAUCCGGAAUGGACUAAAUUAAAGUUGUUGCUGUUUUCCCACUACCCAGGGGUUGGGAGUCUGGAAGACCACAGCAGUUACAAACAAAACAUGGCACAUUUUCACCGUACAUCCCAGGAGUAGUUUGAACAGUUUAAGGCCCCACCUGUUUGUGUGCUUGCAUAAGCGUAUGCGGUGCAUAAACAUUCGCCAGCUCACUGCAGGAAGUUGCGCACAUGCCAG